CGGACGGGUGAGUAAUGCGUAGGAAUUUACCUCAAAGCGGGGGAUAGCCCGGAGAAAUCCGGAUUAAUACCGCAUGUGCUCUACGGAGUAAAGCGGGCCUCUUCUUGAAAGCUCGCACUUUGAGAUAAGCCUACGUCGGAUUAGCUCGUUGGUAGGGUAAAAGCCUACCAUGGCGACGAUCCGUAGCUGGUUUGAGAGGAUGAUCAGCCACACUGGGACUGAGACACGGCCCAG
Molecule: ribosomal RNA, 234 nt
Filed under: uncultured bacterium
Lineage: Bacteria
Description: partial 16S ribosomal RNA
Rfam family: Bacterial small subunit ribosomal RNA
Source: RNAcentral